RNAcentral lists this ribosomal RNA (492 nucleotides) under uncultured bacterium. RNAcentral describes it as "partial 16S ribosomal RNA". It matches the Rfam family "Bacterial small subunit ribosomal RNA", at positions 30 to 507 of the family's 1533-position model. The record is from RNAcentral.
AUUGAACGCUGGCGGCAUGCUUUACACAUGCAAGUCGAACGGUAACAGGCCUUCGGGUGCUGACGAGUGGCGAACGGGUGCGUAAUACAUCGGAACGUACCCAGAGGUGGGGGAUAACGCAGCGAAAGCUGUGCUAAUACCGCAUGUGAUCUGAGGAUGAAAGCGGGGGACCGAGCAGCAAUGUUUGGCCUCGCGCCUUUGGAGCGGCCGAUGUCGGAUUAGCUAGUUGGUGGGGUAAAGGCCUACCAAGGCGACGAUCCGUAGCUGGUCUGAGAGGACGACCAGCCACACUGGAACUGAGACACGGCCCAGACUCCUACGGGAGGCAGCAGUGGGGAAUUUUGGACAAUGGGCGCAAACCUGAUCCAGCAAUGCCGCGUGCGGGAAGAAGGCCUUCGGGUUGUAAACCGCUUUUGGCAGGAACGAAACGGUGUCCGCUAAUACCGGGCGCUAAUGACGGUACCUGCAGAAUAAGCACCGGCUAACUACGUG